RNAcentral lists this ribosomal RNA (254 nucleotides) under uncultured bacterium. Its description in RNAcentral is "partial 16S ribosomal RNA". It matches the Rfam family "Bacterial small subunit ribosomal RNA", at positions 524 to 776 of the family's 1533-position model. The record is from RNAcentral.
UACGGGGGGAGCAAGCGUUGUUCGGAUUUACUGGGCGUAAAGGGCGCGUAGGCGGCCACCGCAAGUCGAUUGUGAAAUCUCCGGGCUUAACCCGGAAAGGUCAACCGAUACUGCGGGGCUAGAGUGCAGAAGGGGCAACUGGAAUUCUCGGUGUAGCGGUGAAAUGCGUAGAUAUCGAGAGGAACACCGGUGGCGAAGGCGGUUCUCUGGGCCUGUACUGACGCUGAGGAGCGAAAGCGUGGGGAGCGAACAGG